UCGCUACUACCGAUCGGAUGGCUUAGUGAGUUUCACGGACUGGUGCCUCUGGAUGGCUUGUCCUUCUUUUGGCAUCGGGAAGUGAAUCAAACUUGAUCAUCUAGAGGAAGUAA
Molecule: ribosomal RNA, 113 nt
Filed under: uncultured eukaryote
Lineage: Eukaryota
Description: partial small subunit ribosomal RNA
Rfam family: Eukaryotic small subunit ribosomal RNA
Source: RNAcentral